This 112-nucleotide ribosomal RNA is filed under the name uncultured bacterium. RNAcentral's name for it is "partial 16S ribosomal RNA". It matches the Rfam family "Bacterial small subunit ribosomal RNA", at positions 1373 to 1482 of the family's 1533-position model. The record is from RNAcentral.
CCCGGGCCUUGUACACACCGCCCGUCACACCACGAAAGUCGGCAACACCCGAAGUCAGUGGCCCAACCCGCAGGGGAGGGAGCUGCCGAAGGUGGGGUUGGUGAUUGGGGUG